RNAcentral lists this non-coding RNA (23 nucleotides) under Cricetulus griseus (Chinese hamster). Lineage: Eukaryota; Metazoa; Chordata; Mammalia; Rodentia; Cricetidae. The record is from RNAcentral.
UCAAAAGGAAAAGGACGAGAGAA